UGCACCCCGCCCCCGGCAGGGUCUCCGUGGAGCCACGGACUGUGGGAUUUCCCUGGGGCGCGCUGACCUUCCUGCUUCCUGCCUUUCCCACAGCUCCUGGGCCAGGGGCUUCCCGGAGCAGAAGGUCGGCCCCGGGGCCCAUUGUUCUGAGUGUUUCUUUAGUUAAAAAGUAAAAGAGCCGGUGUCUGUCCAGAAGAGAAAAUGGGAAAAAAAACCUGGGCCCUCGCCCACUGCCCAGUGCCCGAGCAGGUUCCAUGUCCCCGCCUGCGGACCGUCCCCGUCGGCUCCAGGCUUCCUACUUCUGUCCCUUAAUUCUCAGUUUCUACUUCGCGCUCGGACAGAUGUCGCCUUUACACCUUCAGAAUUCUCACUUUAAAGAUCGUCUCGGUGGCCUUAGGCUCUCCCUUCACGAGCCCUUCCCAUACUUCUGGGUGACGCCAGCUUGCAGUUCCAUCAGCGGCAGGGUCAGGAUAUGAAUUUGCGUGCUGCCAAUGCCGGGUGUGGCCUCAAAAACAUUUUUUUUUGCCAACUUAGUAAAUAAAAAACAGUCUCUCGGCGCCUCCUUAA
This is a long non-coding RNA of Canis lupus familiaris (dog), 567 nucleotides long. RefSeq lists it as uncharacterized. NCBI's taxonomy places the organism in Eukaryota, Metazoa, Chordata, Mammalia, Carnivora, Canidae. The record is from RefSeq and is a predicted model, not a curated record. The transcript has 2 exons.